This 858-nucleotide ribosomal RNA is filed under the name uncultured bacterium. RNAcentral describes it as "bacterial SSU rRNA". It matches the Rfam family "Bacterial small subunit ribosomal RNA", at positions 52 to 904 of the family's 1533-position model. The record is from RNAcentral.
UACCAUGCAGUCGAGCGGAGAUGAGGUGCUUGCACCUUAUCUUAGCGGCGGACGGGUGAGUAAUGCUUAGGAAUCUGCCUAUUAGUGGGGGACAACAUUCCGAAAGGAAUGCUAAUACCGCAUACGUCCUACGGGAGAAAGCAGGGGAUCUUCGGACCUUGCGCUAAUAGAUGAGCCUAAGUCGGAUUAGCUAGUUGGUGGGGUAAAGGCCUACCAAGGCGACGAUCUGUAGCGGGUCUGAGAGGAUGAUCCGCCACACUGGGACUGAGACACGGCCCAGACUCCUACGGGAGGCAGCAGUGGGGAAUAUUGGACAAUGGGGGGAACCCUGAUCCAGCCAUGCCGCGUGUGUGAAGAAGGCCUUAUGGUUGUAAAGCACUUUAAGCGAGGAGGAGGCUACUGAGACUAAUACUCUUGGAUAGUGGACGUUACUCGCAGAAUAAGCACCGGCUAACUCUGUGCCAGCAGCCGCGGUAAUACAGAGGGUGCGAGCGUUAAUCGGAUUUACUGGGCGUAAAGCGUGCGUAGGCGGCUUUUUAAGUCGGAUGUGAAAUCCCCGAGCUUAACUUGGGAAUUGCAUUCGAUACUGGGAAGCUAGAGUAUGGGAGAGGAUGGUAGAAUUCCAGGUGUAGCGGUGAAAUGCGUAGAGAUCUGGAGGAAUACCGAUGGCGAAGGCAGCCAUCUGGCCUAAUACUGACGCUGAGGUACGAAAGCAUGGGGAGCAAACAGGAUUAGAUACCCUGGUAGUCCAUGCCGUAAACGAUGUCUACUAGCCGUUGGGGCCUUUGAGGCUUUAGUGGCGCAGCUAACGCGGUAAGUAGACCGCCUGGGGAGUACGGUCGCAAGACUAAAACUCAA